Molecule: unclassified non-coding RNA, 253 nt
Filed under: uncultured bacterium
Lineage: Bacteria
Description: contains 16S-23S intergenic spacer region
Rfam family: Bacterial small subunit ribosomal RNA
Source: RNAcentral
UACGGAGGUGGCAAGCGUUACUCGGAAUUAUUGGGUGUAAAGGGCAGGUAGGCGGCCUAGUAGGUGAGGAGUGAAAUCCCAUGGCUCAAUCAUGGAACUGCUUUUCAAACCAUUAGGCUUGAGGAUGGUAGAGGAAAAUGGAAUUCUCGGUGUAAGGGUGAAAUCUGUAGAUAUCGAGAAGAACACCAAUGGCGAAGGCAAUUUUCUGGCCCAUUCCUGACGCUGAUCUGCGAAAGCUAGGGGAGCAAACAGA